RNAcentral lists this transfer RNA (67 nucleotides) under Cyrtonotula longialata. RNAcentral describes it as "tRNA-Ser". The record is from RNAcentral. Lineage: Eukaryota; Metazoa; Arthropoda; Insecta; Blattodea; Blaberidae.
GAAGUAUGAAGUUCAAGUGUAAGCUGCUAACUUAACACUCUAACGGUUCAACUCCGUUUAUAUUUCU